Molecule: long non-coding RNA, 528 nt
Organism: Notothenia coriiceps (black rockcod)
Lineage: Eukaryota; Metazoa; Chordata; Actinopteri; Perciformes; Nototheniidae
Exons: 3
Source: RefSeq, a predicted model, not a curated record
AGAAGGUCUGGGUUUUACCGUUGUAACCAGAGAUUCUUCCGUCCACGGUCCUGGUCCUAUUCUGGUCAAAAACGUUCUGGCACGUGGAGCCGCUGUCAAAGAUGGACGCUUGCAGUCUGGAGAUCGCAUUCUUGAGGUCAACGGUGUGGAUACCACAGGUGUGGGCCAGGAGGAGCUGGUGUGUAUGCUCCGCAGCACGCGACAGGGAGAGAGUGUGUGUCUUGUGGUCCUACGGCAGGAAGACAUGUUCCUGCCCCGAGAGAUGGCUUGCCUUGAUGAUGCACAGCUCAGCAACCUAUAGGAAAUCGUCUUGUUAUACGCAAUAUUAUAAUAAUAUUUUCUGAACUAUUUUGAAAGAUAACACAUUUGCAGUCAUGUUUUCUCUUACCACGCAAUCGUGUAACACAGUAUUUCAUAGAACUCCAUUUUGAUUGAAUGAAACGAGCCCAUUGUAAAGCUUCUUCUUGAUAUUGGUAAACCAUUUUGGGUAAUCUUUCCUUUGCACUUGUUUCUGCUGAAUUUCAUCAC